This 353-nucleotide ribosomal RNA is filed under the name uncultured bacterium. Its description in RNAcentral is "bacterial SSU rRNA". It matches the Rfam family "Bacterial small subunit ribosomal RNA", at positions 917 to 1271 of the family's 1533-position model. The record is from RNAcentral.
GGGCCCGCACAAGCGGUGGAGUAUGUGGUUUAACUCGAUGCAACGCGAAGAACCUUACCAGGGUUUGACAUCCUGCGAAUUUCUUGGAAACGAGAGAGUGCCUUCGGGAGCGCAGUGACAGGUGGUGCAUGGCUGUCGUCAGCUCGUGUCGUGAGAUGUUGGGUUAAGUCCCGCAACGAGCGCAACCCACGUCUUUAGUUGCCAGCAUUUAGUUGGGCACUCUAGAGAGACCGCCGGUGAUAAACCGGAGGAAGGUGUGGAUGACGUCAAGUCAUCAUGCCCCUUACAUCCUGGGCUACACACGUACUACAAUGCUACGGACAAAGGGCAGCAAGUUCGCGAGGACAAGCAAA